AGCAGCGUGGCUCAGUGGAAAAGAGCCUGGGCUUCGGAAUCAGAGGUCACGAGUUCGACUCCCGGCUCUGCCA
Ornithorhynchus anatinus (platypus) is the source of this 73-nucleotide non-coding RNA. NCBI's taxonomy places the organism in Eukaryota, Metazoa, Chordata, Mammalia, Monotremata, Ornithorhynchidae. The record is from Rfam.